UACAGGGGGCUCGAGCGUUAGUCGGAAUCACUGGGCUUAAAGGGUGCGUAGGCGGCUCGCCAAGUGCUUUGUGAAAUCCCACAGCUCAACUGUGGAACAGCAGGGCAAACUGGCGAGCUUGAAGCAGGUAGGGGCUGGAAGAACAGUUGGUGGAGCGGUGAAAUGCGUAGAUAUCAACUGGAAUGCCGAUGGGGAAGCCGUCCAGCUGGGCCUGUCUUGACGCUGAGGCACGAAAGCGUGGGGAGCAAACAGG
This 253-nucleotide ribosomal RNA is filed under the name uncultured bacterium. RNAcentral describes it as "partial 16S ribosomal RNA". It matches the Rfam family "Bacterial small subunit ribosomal RNA", at positions 524 to 776 of the family's 1533-position model. The record is from RNAcentral.